Long non-coding RNA from Dendrobium catenatum, 613 nucleotides. RefSeq lists it as uncharacterized. The transcript has 3 exons. The record is from RefSeq and is a predicted model, not a curated record. NCBI's taxonomy places the organism in Eukaryota, Viridiplantae, Streptophyta, Magnoliopsida, Asparagales, Orchidaceae.
GGUGAAGAACAAGGUCAGAGGCAUCUACUUUUCUACUUAUGACUUCUGGAGCUUUCUUCGAUGGAUCUAGGGUUUGCGGUGAUCUCUUCUUGCACUGCCGGCGGGCGAUUUGAUCUUGGGUUUCUUUAUCCAACGAUCGUUCGGAGGAUCGGGAGUUUUUGUAGGGGAGUGACGUUCCAAGGUGGAUGAUUUGGCUUUAUAUAUUGAUCUCCAUCUGAUCUGCGAAGAAGAAGGCUGCAGAAUCACGAGCAUCCUCAUGUAUGUUCAUUUGGCGCGCUCAAUGAGCUUUGCUCUUUUUUCAGAGUUGAGCACCGCUGUUGGGUUAGAUAAUCCAUGAGCCCCAAUAUCUGAUCUGUAUGUAUCUGAACUAUGAAGUACAUGACGCUGUUUGGGUUCUCCGUUGCCACUUCUUAUGUGCAUCCCUUGGAGCAAGUGAUGAUAAGAAUUAGCUGUUGAUUGAGAGAAAUUAUUCCGUGCGGAGUCUGGACGGUAAAGAAAUGUCCAGAUGUGAGUGUACACUAAGUAUAGUUUCGAGCAUAGUUUGAUUUUUUUAAUACACAGUGUAUACGAACACUGUGUACACUCACAUUCAGAUGAUUCUUUACCGUCCAGA